GUACCUGCGGAGGGCAGCAGGGAAGUGAGCGUGGAGCCGGGGCCGCGAGGACCUAACGGGGCAGGAUUUGUCGAGCCGCCGCCGCUUACCUGUGCUUGAAUCGCACCAUGGCGGUCUCUGCUCCGGCUGCCCUACACCCAAAGCGGAUGUCGGUUUCGCUGGCGGCAAAUGGGAAAUUAGUUUCCGUAAUCUUGCAGCCACUCAGAGAGGGAAGCAGGGUAAGAAGGCGGGGCUAGAGUGUUGGGAGGCCGAGCCCAAUGUCAGUCUCCCUUAAGCCCCACCUCCCGCAAACGUUUGGAGGGCGCAUGCGCCCUGCUGGACUGCCUCGUUGAGGUUUAGGUAUUCCGUGGUUGAGGUCCGCGGUUCCGUGGUGUAUGCUUGUGUUGGGUGGUUCUGCUCCACGCCGGAGUUUGCAAAUCUGUGUAGGAGGCAGCUGCUGCAUUUGGGACUCUCGGGAUUUCUGCUUUCUGUUACCUUGCAAUACAGUUGUGUAUGCAUUUAUAUUCACUCCCUAGACUAGACGGUGGAAUUUAAGAGGGCAAGACCCUGCACUUACACGCCUGGGAUUGACAAGGGAAAUCGGACCCUUAGUUUCAGGUGCUGUCUUUAGCUCUACAGAUACAGCAGAGAACAAAGGAGAAUUGGCCUUGCCCAAGUGGAGCUAAAGUCUCUUCUGGAACCUGGAGCACGGAAGGAGACCAAUCUUCCCUACAGACCAAAGAUAAAUUUCUUUUGAAGUACUCUGGAUGGACAAAAAAUCUGUUCAAAAGAUCAAAGGUGAUUAUUUUACCAAAUUAUUAUUUGAAGAAUACGCUCACCAUGAUCAUACAACUAUUUUUUGAUUUAUGGAAACACAAUUGGUAUUCAACUUUUUAGGAGUAUGUUUAGCGUGUGAAACAGGAACAAAUUGCACGAAGUGAGAGCCCACGUCUGUGUUGUUUCUCACUAAGAUCAGCACCUUUCUGGCCACCUAGUAGGCUUUUGAAUAUCUGUGUGAUUGAUUUCAAUGCUGGAAUAUGUUUUCUGUUAAAUCUCAAGGGCAUCAGUUCUGCAGUUCUGCCUCUGUAGUUGUUAACAUGAAUUUUGAUGACACGAAAAAGCUUGUUCUCCGAAUUAUAUUUAGCUCAUACAAACUCUACUGCACAGUUAUGUUGUAAAGAGGAAUUAGGUUUUAUCUUUAAGUUGUUAUUAUAGCCUUGUGAGAAGGUGAACAUUGAGAGUAAGUACAAAGUAGUAGCAUAUCGUAUUAUUAAUUUUGCUACUUUUUAAAAACACUGCGGUGCAGGGCCUAGAACAGGCUGACACAUGUGGUACGUGUAUCAGUCAGGGUCUGCAUAAGAAACAGAUGGCACACUCAAAAUAGAUAAUUAGGGGAGGAUUUAAUAGAGACACUAUAUGCAAGGGUUGGUAAGGUGUAGGGAAACCAUAAGGAUAGUGUAGUAUCCAAGAGGCUCGUAAUAGCUGGGGUCUUUGUCAUUUUUUUUUUUUUAAUUUGUUUACUUAUUUUGACAGAGACAGAGAUGGCACGCGUGGGGGAGGGCAGAGAGAGACGGAGACAGAGAAUCCCAAGCGGGGUCCGCGCCGACACAGGGCUCAAACCCACGAGACCAAACCAAGAGAUCAUGACCUGAAGCCAACACCAAGAGUCGGACGCUUAACCCACUGAGCCACCCAGGUGCCCCAGUCUUUAUCAUCUCUAGAUCUGGAAGUUCAAAGGAGGGAGAAAUGACAACCCAGGAAGAGAGGGCCACCUUGACAAGGAGCGGUGGUGAGCUAUUAUCAAUAGCACAACCAACCCGUGGUGAUCCAGCAGGGAGGGAACUGGGGGAAUAAAUACUUUGACCUCACCCUCCUUCUGCCCUCCACGCCUCUGCUGCUGCCUCCCAUUGGCUGGAAGCUAAGAGGACUAAGGAGUGAGUUGAUGUAGGAUGGGUAGAAAAGUGGACCUGAAGGGGCAAUUGGAAAAUACCCGUUAUAGAAGACUUCAUUUCCUUGUUGAGUGAAGACUUGACGUUUAAAUCUUUUAGUAAGACGUUUAAAUAUUUUAGU
Molecule: long non-coding RNA, 2049 nt
Organism: Acinonyx jubatus (cheetah)
Lineage: Eukaryota; Metazoa; Chordata; Mammalia; Carnivora; Felidae
Exons: 3
Source: RefSeq, a predicted model, not a curated record